RNAcentral lists this ribosomal RNA (406 nucleotides) under uncultured bacterium. RNAcentral's name for it is "partial 16S ribosomal RNA". It matches the Rfam family "Bacterial small subunit ribosomal RNA", at positions 29 to 526 of the family's 1533-position model. The record is from RNAcentral.
AUUGAACGCUGGCGGCAGGCCUAACACAUGCAAGUCGAACGAGUGGCGGACGGGUGAGUAAUGUCUGGGAAACUGCCCGAUGGAGGGGGAUAACUACUGGAAACGGUAGCUAAUACCGCAUACCAUAAGAUGAGCCCAGAUGGGAUUAGCUAGUUGGUGGGGUAACGGCUCACCAAGGCGACGAUCCCUAGCUGGUCUGAGAGGAUGACCAGCAACACUGGAACUGAGAGAAGGUCCAGACUCCUACGGUAGGCAGCAGUGGAGAAUAUUGCACAAUGGGGGCAAGCCGGAGGCAGCCAUGCCGCGUGUAUGAAGAAGGCCUUCGGGUUGUAAAGUACUUUCAGCGGGGAGGCGUGACCUGCAGAAGAAGCACCGGCGAACUCCGUGCCAGCAGCCGCGGUAAUUC